AAUAGAUACCCCGGUAGUCCUAGCUAUAAACGAUGCAUACUAGGUGUAGGAGGGCUCAACCCUUUCUGUACCGGAGCUAACGCAUUAAGUAUGCCGCCUGGGGAGUAUGGCCGCAAGGCUAAAACUCAAAGGAAUUGACGGGGGCCCGCACAAGCGGCGGAGCAUGUGGCUUAAUUCGACGCAACGCGAAGAACCUUACCAAGGCUUGACAUGCAGGGAAAUCUCGUAGAGAUACGGGGUCCGCAAGGGCUCUGCACAGGUGGUGCAUGGUUGUCGUCAGCUCGUGUCGUGAGAUGUUGGGUUAAGUCCCGCAACGAGCGCAACCCUUGUCCUAUGUUGCCAGCGAGUAAUGUCGGGGACUCAUAGGAGACUGCCGGGGUCAACUCGGAGGAAGGUGGGGAUGACGUCAAAUCAUCAUGCCCCUUAUGUCUUGGGCUGCACACAUGCUACAAUGGUCGGUACAAAGGGCUGCGAGACCGCAAGGUGGAGCGAAUCCCGAAAAAGCCGGCCUCAGUUCGGAUUGGGGUCG
RNAcentral lists this ribosomal RNA (529 nucleotides) under uncultured bacterium. RNAcentral's name for it is "bacterial SSU rRNA". It matches the Rfam family "Bacterial small subunit ribosomal RNA", at positions 777 to 1306 of the family's 1533-position model. The record is from RNAcentral.